RNAcentral lists this ribosomal RNA (301 nucleotides) under uncultured bacterium. RNAcentral's name for it is "partial 16S ribosomal RNA". It matches the Rfam family "Bacterial small subunit ribosomal RNA", at positions 509 to 807 of the family's 1533-position model. The record is from RNAcentral.
CAGUAGCCACGGUAAUACGUAGGUGGCAAGCGUUGUCCGGAAUUAUUGGGCGUAAAGCGCGCGCAGGUGGUUUAAUAAGUCUGAUGUGAAAGCCCACGGCUCAACCGUGGAGGGUCAUUGGAAACUGUUAAACUUGAGUGCAGGAGAGAAAAGUGGAAUUCCUAGUGUAGCGGUGAAAUGCGUAGAGAUUAGGAGGAACACCAGUGGCGAAGGCGGCUUUUUGGCCUGUAACUGACACUGAGGCGCGAGAGCGUGGGGAGCAAACAGGAUUAGAUACCCGCGUAGUCCCUGUCUCUUAUAC